UGUUUAACAGACGACAGGAACAGAAACAGGACCCGCAGCACUGCAAUAAAGUUGGUUGGACGUUCGAUAUUCGCGGAAAUUAAGGGACCGUCUGUAAAGUUACACACGACAUUUUUAUACACGUUUCUAACUUCAAUAGCAUUUGAAGGGAAUGACUUACAGUCAUAUAACCAACUGGACAGUGUUCAUCAAGGUGUCAGAUCAAUCCAAUUGAAUCCCGAGCUGGUUACUCUGACUGGGCCGUAACAGUUAAUGAAACACUGGAUGAGAUGUAGUAGAUUGGAGAGGCGUUCAAAUGGGUCGCAGGUGUUUGUUUCAGUGGUGUAAGAGUUCGAGUGUCUUUUCUCGGGAGAGCUGAGAAUUGGAGAAAGGUAGACUUCGGACUUGCUCAUGAAAGCAGUUUGCAUCUAAACAAUGAUGCGGUACUUGGUCCCAAGGACUUUUCUGACCCUUCAAAUGAGUCACACCAGGGGCUAAUGGUUCAAAUAGACAGGGCAGAGGACCUGCACUGCUAUCCACUGUGUCUCCAUUUAGCCCUGGGGAUUCAGGAAGAGAGAAGUCCCCUGGCUCAUCUGCAAACUUUUUGUCACUCUCCAUCCUUUUUGUGAGUGUUCUGAAGGCUCGUCCCCAUCCUCCUCCCCUGCCUAGCUAGCUACAGUACCCUACAUAUAUGUGCGAUGUGUGUUCCUCUGUGUCGGCGCUCCAUUCACGUGUGUGUGUGUGUGUGUGUGUGUGUGUGUGUGUGAGUGUGCACGCAAUAUAGGCCAAAUAAAUAAAGCACCUUUACCUUUUAAAACAAGCUUAGUUUGCAGACAAAUUAUGUUAGUGAUCCUACAAAUGUUAAUUUAAACUGAGUGACUUAGUCAGAACUUCGAGUUUCACAACAUGAAACAAAAACGCUUAAAAAAUAUGUUAGCUUAAUAGGUCUGACAUAUGUCAAAUAAUAUACACCGCCAAAUAAUAUACAAGCUCAUUUCAUAUAAUUUGAAUGCAAAUAGUUGAAUGCACUCCACACCUCAUUAUUGACCAAUGCCUAUACUGUAUAUUUACAGAUGAUCCACAACAGCUCAGGGAAGGUCAGGAUGGCCCACACCCCGUCAUGGAAGGUCAGGAGAAGGAGAUGUUUAAUGAUCUAAGAUUUUUCAUUCAGGCCAUGAAAUCAGUUGAAGAAAUCUUAGAGAGUGUGCUGGAAUACUAUUCCAGUAAAGUUCCUUAAAUGUAUUCUGUUGCUAGUGUGGUCUUUAAACCUGUGAACUGGGUGUCUGUGUUUGUGUGUGUGUGUGUGUGUGUGUGUGUGUGUGUGUUUAGACUGAAAAAGGUGGUACAUGAUCUUGGUAAGCAAUUUGACAACAUUGUAGUAAAUAUUAUUGGUAGAGAUGCACCGAUGUAUCGGCCGAUAAAGGCUAUUUUUCCCGCUAUCGGCCGAUAGUUUCAAAACAUCCGAUGUUCAGGGCCGAUUAUAUCCUGUCAAUCAAAAGAGGGUGGAAAAACACAUUGAUUUCUGAUUGCUGUAUGUAAAGAAGAUGUCUCUUGUGUGGAAUGAUGACAUAACUGCAGUUUGUAAGCUUUGUAAUCUCUGCACCGCUAAAAUUUUACACCGGAAGUGAGCAGCAGUGAAGUGGGAGUUUCAGCAUUGAGUCUAAUUUUUUCCCCCACGCUGCUCACUCUGAAUUAAAGCACCAGUACACGGGUAAAAGAUGGGUUGACAAAAAAGUAUAUAUUGCACAGAAAAAUGUAUUUGUAGAGUAGUAUAUUUCAUAUCCAGUUAAUGGUAAUAUAUAUAAAAAAAGUAUGAUAUUAUAUAUUACCAGUUUGAGGUUAAUGAUGAAGUAGAAAUGCUUUUGUUUGGGGAGAGUGAAUGUGAGACUAACAGGAGGUUUUUUAGAAUUCAGUCAAUGUUAAUAUGAAUUAAUAACCUUCAAUAAGUUAAGAAAUCUUACAUUAAUCUUCAGAAUUUAGUUCAUGUUUUAAUGUUAGAGUAAUGUGUUUUCUGUUUAUGAGACCAGUUACUGUGAAACAACUUGUUGAAAUGGAGAGAAUAAAGUUUUUAUUUGCAUUUU
This is a long non-coding RNA of Ictalurus furcatus (blue catfish), 2060 nucleotides long. RefSeq lists it as uncharacterized. Lineage: Eukaryota; Metazoa; Chordata; Actinopteri; Siluriformes; Ictaluridae. The record is from RefSeq and is a predicted model, not a curated record. The transcript is spliced from 4 exons.